CUAUCUAACGACCAUAAUAGAAAUGCUCACAUUCCAUCAUAUAACAUUUAGCGAAAGCUGAUGUGACAUGAAACUAGUUGAUAUGAAAUCUUAAAUUCUAUUUUUUUUAUUUUUUUUCUUUUGGUUAGAAUUUUUACUUCCCAUUUCAUCUAUUUUUUUCACUACUAUCUCCUCUGAAAUCCCAUCAUCUUCUACACCACUAUCGGUAUCUUUACUUAUACCAUUGCUAAC
This 231-nucleotide long non-coding RNA is filed under the name Elaeis guineensis (African oil palm). RNAcentral describes it as "long non-coding RNA (EGUI_LNC026588)". The record is from RNAcentral. Lineage: Eukaryota; Viridiplantae; Streptophyta; Magnoliopsida; Arecales; Arecaceae.